GAUGAACGCUGGCGGCGUGCCUAAUACAUGCAAGUCGAACGGACAGACGAGGCGCUUGCUUCUCUCAUGUUAGCCGCGGACGUGUGAGUCACACGUGUAUACCCUCCCUAUAAGACUGAUAUAUCUUCGAAAAACCGUAGCUUAUACCGUAUAAUCUUUUGAUCCGUAUUGUUCGAAAGUGAAUUACGGUCUUUCUGUCUCUUAUCGAGGCAUCCGCGCUUCAUUAGAUAGUUGUUGAGGUAAAGGCGUACCAAGGCAAGGAUGCGUAGCCGAACUGCGAGGGGGAUAGGCCACACUGGAGCUGAGACACGGUCAAGGCUACUAAGGGAGGCAGCAGUAGGGAAUCGGACGCAAUGGGCGAAAACCUGACAGAGCAACGGGACGUGAGUGACGAAGGUCUUCGGAGCGUAAAACUCUGUUAUGAGGGAAGAACAGAUGUGGAAGUAAAUGUGCACAUCUUGACGGUAACUAAUCAGAAAGCAACGGCUAACUACGUG
This 497-nucleotide ribosomal RNA is filed under the name uncultured bacterium. RNAcentral describes it as "partial 16S ribosomal RNA". It matches the Rfam family "Bacterial small subunit ribosomal RNA", at positions 28 to 507 of the family's 1533-position model. The record is from RNAcentral.